UAACUUAGUGGCGAACGGGUGAGUAACGCGUGAGUAACCUGCCCUGGAGUGGGGGACAACAGUUGGAAACGACUGCUAAUACCGCAUAAGCCCACGGAUCCGCAUGGAUCUGCGGGAAAAGGAUUUAUUCGCUUCAGGAUGGACUCGCGUCCAAUUAGCUAGUUGGUGAGGUAACGGCCCACCAAGGCGACGAUUGGUAGCCGGACUGAGAGGUUGAACGGCCACAUUGGGACUGAGACACGGCCCAGACUCCUACGGGAGGCAGCAGUGGGGGAUAUUGCACAAUGGGGGAAACCCUGAUGCAGCGACGCCGCGUGGAGGAAGAAGGUUUUCGGAUUGUAAACUCCUGUCGUUAGGGACGAUAAUGACGGUACCUAACAAGAAAGCACCGGCUAACUACGUGCCAGCAGCCGCGGUAAAACGUAGGGUGCAAGCGUUGUCCGGAAUUACUGGGUGUAAAGGGAGCGCAGGCGGACCGGCAAGUUGGAAGUGAAAACUAUGGGCUCAACCCAUAAAUUGCUUUCAAAACUGCUGGCCUUGAGUAGUGCAGAGGUAGGUGGAAUUCCCGGUGUAGCGGUGGAAUGCGUAGAUAUCGGGAGGAACACCAGUGGCGAAGGCGACCUA
RNAcentral lists this ribosomal RNA (624 nucleotides) under uncultured bacterium. RNAcentral describes it as "bacterial SSU rRNA". It matches the Rfam family "Bacterial small subunit ribosomal RNA", at positions 88 to 728 of the family's 1533-position model. The record is from RNAcentral.